Molecule: transfer RNA, 64 nt
Filed under: Oxidus gracilis
Lineage: Eukaryota; Metazoa; Arthropoda; Diplopoda; Polydesmida; Paradoxosomatidae
Also listed under: 1 other name
Description: tRNA-Met
Source: RNAcentral
GAAAAGAUAAGCUAAUAUAAGCUGAUGGGUUCAUAUCUCAUAUAUAGAAUAAUUCUUCUUUUUA